AGAGUGGCGCACGGGUGCGUAACGCGUAUGCAACCUACCUUUAACAGGUGAAUAGCCCCGAGAAAUCGGGAUUAAUACACCGUAACAUUGCGGGAUGGCAUCAUUCUGCAAUUAAAGAUUUAUCGGUUAAAGAUGGGCAUGCGUGACAUUAGCUAGUUGGUGAGGUAACGGCUCACCAAGGCGACGAUGUCUAGGGGUCCUGAGAGGGUUAUCCCCCACACUGGUACUGAGACACGGACCAGACUCCUACGGGAGGCAGCAGUAAGGAAUAUUGGUCAAUGGGCGCAAGCCUGAACCAGCCAUGCCGCGUGCAGGAAGACGGCCCUAUGGGUUGUAAACUGCUUUUGUCAGGGAAUAAACCUGUCUACGAGUAGGCAGCUGAAGGUACCUGAAGAAUAAGCAUCGGCUAACUCCGUGCCAGCAGCCGCGGUAAUACGGAGGAUGCAAGCGUUAUCCGGAUUCAUUGGGUUUAAAGGGUGCGCAGGCGGAUUGAUAAGUCAGGGGUGAAAUCCCACAGCUCAACUGUGGAACUGCCCUUGAUACUGUUAGUCUAGAGUAUAGUUGAAGUUGGCGGAAUGUGUCAUGUAGCGGUGAAAUGCUUAGAUAUGACACAGAACACCGAUCGCGAAGGCAGCUAGCUAAGCUAUAACUGACGCUCAUGCACGAAAGCGUGGGGAUCAAACAGGAUUAGAUACCCUGGUAGUCCACGCUGUAAACGAUGAUUACUCGAUGUUGGCGAUACACAGUCAGCGUCUAAGGGAAACCAAUAAGUAAUCCACCUGGGGAGUACGAUCGCAAGAUUGAAACUCAAAGGAAUUGACGGGGGCCCGCACAAGCGGAGGAGCAUGUGGUUUAAUUCGAUGAUACGCGAGGAACCUUACCUGGGCUAGA
Molecule: ribosomal RNA, 891 nt
Filed under: uncultured bacterium
Lineage: Bacteria
Description: bacterial SSU rRNA
Rfam family: Bacterial small subunit ribosomal RNA
Source: RNAcentral